Molecule: long non-coding RNA, 235 nt
Organism: Ixodes scapularis (black-legged tick)
Lineage: Eukaryota; Metazoa; Arthropoda; Arachnida; Ixodida; Ixodidae
Exons: 3
Source: RefSeq, a predicted model, not a curated record
GAAGAACCGGUGGCAACAACAUGCCCCUGUGACGUUCCAUUGGAGGGAAACAGAAUGUCGCAUCCCACAGCAGCUUAUGAAAAGCCGAUGGCGGAACCAAGCCCCGGGGAUGUUCGAUUGGAGGGCAGCAAAACGUCGCCUUCAACAGCUGCUCAUGAAGGACCGAUGGUGGCACCAAGCCCCGGGAACGUUCCAUUGGAGGGUAGUGGAACGUCACCUUUGGCAGCUGCUCAUA